This 135-nucleotide ribosomal RNA is filed under the name uncultured bacterium. RNAcentral's name for it is "partial 16S ribosomal RNA". It matches the Rfam family "Bacterial small subunit ribosomal RNA", at positions 355 to 507 of the family's 1533-position model. The record is from RNAcentral.
UGGGGAAUAUUGGACAAUGGGCGCAAGCCUGAUCCAGCAAUGCCGCGUGAGUGAUGAAGGCCUUAGGGUUGUAAAGCUCUUUUACCCGGGAAGAUAAUGACUGUACCGGGAGAAUAAGCCCCGGCUAACUCCGUG